Molecule: ribosomal RNA, 253 nt
Filed under: uncultured bacterium
Lineage: Bacteria
Description: partial 16S ribosomal RNA
Rfam family: Bacterial small subunit ribosomal RNA
Source: RNAcentral
UACAGGGGGGGCAAGCGUUGUUCGGAAUUACUGGGCGUAAAGGGCUCGUAGGCGGCCAACUAAGUCCGACGUGAAAUCCCAAAGCUUAACUUUGGAACUGCGUCGGAUACUGGAUGGCUUGAAUUCGGGAGAGGGAUGCAGAAUUCCAGGUGUAGCGGUGAAAUGCGUAGAUAUCUGGAGGAAGACCGGUGGCGAAGGCGGCCUGCUGGGCAGUUACUGACACUGAGGCGCGACAGCGUGGGGAGCAAACAGG